RNAcentral lists this small nuclear RNA (107 nucleotides) under Jaculus jaculus (lesser Egyptian jerboa). The record is from RNAcentral. Lineage: Eukaryota; Metazoa; Chordata; Mammalia; Rodentia; Dipodidae.
GUGCUCGCUUUGGCAGCACAUAUAUUAAAAUUGGAACAAUACAGAGAAAAUUAGUGUGGCCCCUGUGCAAGGAUGACAUGGAAAUUUGUGGAGUGUUCCAUAUUUAA